Thalassophryne amazonica is the source of this 315-nucleotide long non-coding RNA. RefSeq lists it as uncharacterized. The transcript is spliced from 3 exons. The record is from RefSeq and is a predicted model, not a curated record. Lineage: Eukaryota; Metazoa; Chordata; Actinopteri; Batrachoidiformes; Batrachoididae.
GAUCACAGUGGACCUUGCUUCUCUUCUAAUAAUGAUUGGACUCUUCAUGUGUCAGCGGAGAAGAUGGUGUGUCCGUGACAGAACAGGUCUGUAAGGGAGAGAGAAGCAAAGAAAUGAGAUGACAGCCUGGAAUCAGAGAGAACUGUCCCUGUUCUUACCCAGUGCAUAGCUCAGACAACUCCAGCAGGUGUUCUUUCAUCAAAUGUGUCUACACUUCAACAACAGUUCAACUCUGGAUAUCAGAAAAAGAAGAUAAAUUUGAUAUGCCACACAAUGUAUAUGGAUAUGUGAAUUUUUUUUUUUUUUUUUUACAGA